This 253-nucleotide ribosomal RNA is filed under the name uncultured bacterium. Its description in RNAcentral is "partial 16S ribosomal RNA". It matches the Rfam family "Bacterial small subunit ribosomal RNA", at positions 524 to 776 of the family's 1533-position model. The record is from RNAcentral.
UACGUAGGGUGCGAGCGUUAAUCGGAAUUACUGGGCGUAAAGCGUGCGCAGGCGGUUCGUUAAGUCAGAUGUGAAAGCCCCGGGCUCAACCUGGGAACUGCCUUUGAUACUGGUAGUCUCGAGUCCGGAAGAGGGGAGUGGAAUUCCAGGUGUAGCGGUGAAAUGCGUAGAGAUCUGGAGGAACACCCGUGGCGAAGGCGGCUCCCUGGUCCGAUUCUGACGCUGAGACGCGAAAGCGCGGGGAGCGAACGGG